GGCACAAGUUUAAAUUGUAGUACUAGAAGUAGUAUGAUAAGAAGUCAAGUCGUGAUACUAGUAGUCAUGUCAGCAGUAGAAGUAGAUUGAGAAUAAAAGAAGUAUAAGUCAAAGUAGUAAAGAAAGUAGAAAUAGGAGCAAUAGCAGUUGAAGUAGAGGGGAAAGUACUAGUUUAAUUGACAUUAGCAGUAGUUGUCGUACUUGAGGUAGGAUUUUGUUUGAAUGAUGGAGUAAUGCAUAAAUAUUAAAACUAAUUUAAAACAGGGAAAUUUUAAAUUAUCAAAAGUCCUCAAGUAUCAGAAAGUUUUGAAGUAUUAGAAAGGUUUGAAUCAGUUUGAAUGAGUUUAAAUUAGUUUGAAAAAUUAAAUGAUAAAUCAUCACUGACUGACUUUUAAAAUGUGAAAAAUUUAAAUGAAUAACAAUCCUAAAUACACCCAAUAAUGUCCUCAAUGAGCUUAAAUUUCAAAGCCCUGAAUGGUUUCUGUAGGUCAAAGGUCAUGUGAGGAUAUAGGGGCUGAAGUUUUUUCCAACGCUCUAGAAAAGGGUUUUAAGUGUCAUCCCAAUUGCUAUGUGUACUGAGCCUGGCUUCAUGUGUCUCAUAUGGCCACUAGAAGCAGCUUUCCAGUCAGCUGUGUGUCUCCAGGUGCACAAAUUGGUUGCCAUGGGGACCUUGGAUGCAUAACUAUAGCAGGAGAAAGAAGGCUUGAAGCUAAAGAAACAGGACUCCAAGUAGGCCCUGACGCUCACCCUCUGUAUAUAUUCAUAAGGAGCUUGUGAGAACAAGACUCUGCUGAACACAUUAAUACAAUUUAUUAUCACAAUCCUCAAAACACCCCAUAAUAUCUUCAAUGAGCUGAAUUUUUGAAGCCCAGAAUGGUUUCUGUAGCUCAAAGUUUGUGGGUGGAGAUAGGUGGUGAAGCAGACACAUAUUAUCUGUGUGUACAAGCAGCUGAACUGCAAGGUGGACCUCAAAAAGCAACAAGUACAAGAAUGUGUGUGCGUGUGUGUGUGUGUGUGUCUCGUUAAUGACUGCAUCCUAAACAGCUGUGAGAUCAAAGGCAAAUCACUAACCUACUGUUUGACUGAGAGGUGCUGAACUGCAGUGAAUUUCAGCCUGUGAACUUCUUCACAUAGCGUGAUUUCCUUAAGUCCCAGAAUGAAAAUAAGAACAUCGUACGAAUCCUCCGCCCUUCAUGAACACAAUGAUGUGUUUUUCAUGUCUGUACUUCGAAAAAUGAGGCCACAACAGCGAGUUAAAAAUGUCUGAGCCUGAGCGAUGAUCCGGAUUUUCCUGGAGAAAAAUAACAUUAUGGUCAAUGGGAGAGAUUUCCGCCUUUUUUGGACAGUUGGUCACCUGCUUGCCAAGGGGUACGAUUUAAUGAUUUGAAACCUCUUUUGUGAGAAGCAGGACACAUAUACCUCCAUUUUGAUGUAUUAUUUGUGUCAGUGGAGUGAGAUUUGUGGGCGUGGGAGCGAUAUAUUCGAGCAAGGUUCUGUCGAUCAGAGACGAGGUCUGCACUCUAGCUGAUGACAUCGUCACUCUAAACUCUCCAAUACACACCCAUUAUAAAGCUUGAAAUUUGCUGAAAACCACAAGUUGCUUAAAGCUAAAUUGUGGAAAAACAGUACAAGAUAUCAAAAAACUGAGUACAACUUUAAUAGUCAACAAGUGAAUGAACAUUUUAAAGCAAAAAUGAGGUCUCUAGGUGAAAGUAUGCUGAAGUUAUAAGGUCUAGAAGGUGGAAGAAUGAAAGGAAGAAGUUGAAGAUUUCCCCAUUGACUUCAAUGUUAAAAUUUUUGCACAAAAAGUUAAAAAAAACAAAAAGUAUAAAGGGUAGAAAGAAAAAAAAUAGACGCCAUCAUGUCCUGAAGGAGUGGAAUAGUUGAAAGUUUGAACGGUUGAAAUCGGACAAAGUUUGAAGGAGGAGAAGCGGUCCAAAAAUCGGCGGAAGAAUAAUAAGUUUAAUAAAGAACAGAAUAAUAAGUGGAAAUGCUGAUUAAGCAUUUCCACUUAACUAGAAAAAUUGCAUUUCCUUGCAGAAAAUGCGUGGAAAUGCUGAGUGCUGAAAACUGAAAAAGCAAUGCAAAACUGUCAAUAAAAAAUGGAGGAAGGUAUGAAUGCAUGCAGUGAAUGAAUUGCAGUAUGCAGCAUCCAACCAUAGUAACUUGAGAAUGCAGAACAGCACCAUCUAUUGCCCUGCUUCAGUUACUGCCCUACAUCUGAAUGUAGAAAGUAUGAAACAGCUGAAGUUAAAUUAAUUGUCUAAUGUAGAAAGUAUAGAAAAGAAAAGCAAAAGUAGAAGAAAAAGAAGAAGUUAGUAUGUUAAAAGAGUUAAAGACAAUAACUGUAACAACAAAGUUAAUAUUGGGGGUGUAUUUUCUACUGACAGAGAGACAGUAAUGCACACAUGGAAACAGUGUGUGUGUGUGUGUGUGUGCGCGCGCGCAUGUGCGUGUGUGUGCCCGCGCGCACGAGCGGCCGAGCCCGUGCGUGUGUGAUCGAAGCACACAGCCCAUGACAAGUGCAGAAUCUCUGGCUCUGAAGGAAUGUACUCACCUCCUGGGCAAACUGUACAAUUUCAUGACUUCAGAUCUAUUUUGUGAGAAGCAGGACGAGUGUACCUCCAUUUUGAUGUGUUUUUUAUGGCUGUGGAGUGAAAAUUUCGGCCGUGGCAGCAGAAUAAUCAUGCUUGGUCUAGUGAAUCCAAAAGGCUCCGCCCGCAUCUAGUGAUGACGUCACACGCUGUAGCGUGAGUCAGGCUGAAAAAGGCAGAAAACUUCAUGUUGCUCCAAGCGAAAUUGUGCAAAAACAGUAGGAAAUAGCAAAAAGGAGUGAAUACAACGUUUGUAGCAGACACGUUGCUGAACAUUUUAAAGCAAAAAUGAGGUCUGUAGGUGAAAGUAUGCAGAAGUUAUAAGGGUGAGAAGGUGUUAUAGCUGUAUCUCCAUUCAUUUGUAAUGGAACAAAUUUUGCAGAAAAAGUGAAAUAUUGCAAAAAGUAUAAAUGGUAGAAAGGUGAAAAGUAAUAGCAAUAAUGUCCUGAAGGAGUGCAUUAGUAUAAAGUUUGAAUGGUUCAAAUAGCACAAAGUGGUAAGGAGUUGAAAAGGGCCAAAAAAGGUACGGAAGAAUAAUAAUAAGAAAAAAAAUAAUAAUAAUAAAGAAAUAGUAGAAUAACAAUAAGUGGAAAUGCUGUGUCAGCAUUUCCACUUAACUAGAAAAAUUGCAUUUCCUUGCAGAAAAUGCGUGGAAAUGCUGAGUGCUGAAAGCUGAAAAAGCAAUGCUAAACUGCUAAUAAAACAUGGAGAAAGGUAUAAAUGUUAAAGCUGUUGAAGGGGUGAACAGAAAUAUAAGUUGGAUAAUUGAUUAAUUGGUUGAAGGACAAAUAGUAUGAAUAUGCUCUAUAAAAGGAAAUUUUAUUCAUGCUGAAAGAGGCUAGAAAAAUGUCGAAAAUUGCACAAAGUUUGAAUGAAGAAGGAAAUUGCCUUAAAAGGCAGGAAGGUGAGAAGUGGCAUAAGUUUAAAUUGUAGUACUAGAAGUAGUAUGAUAAGAAGUCAAGUCGUGAUACUAGUAGUCAUGUCAGCUGUAGAAGUAGAUUGAGAAUAAAAGAAGUAUAAGUCAAAGUAGUAAAGAAAGUAGAAAUAGGAGCAAUAGCAGUUGAAGUAGAGGGGAAAGUUCUAGUUUAAUUGACAUUAGCAGUAGUUGUCGUACUUGAGGUAGGAUUUUGUUUGAAUGAUGGAGUAAUGCAUAAAUAUUAAAACUAAUUUAAAACAGGGAAAUUUUAAAAGUAUUAGAAAGGUUUGAAUCAGUUUGAAUGAGUUUAAAUUAGUUUGAAAAAUUAAAUGAUAAAUCAUCACUGAGUGACUUUAAAAUGUGAAAAAUUUAAAUGAAUAACAAUCCUAAAUACACCCAAUAAUGUCCUCAAUGAGCUUAAAUUUCAAAGCCCUGAAUGGUUUCUGUAGGUCAAAGGUCAUGUGAGGAGAUAGGGGCUGAAGUUUUUUCCAACGCUCUAGGAAAGGGUUUUAAGUGUCAUCCCAAUUGCUAUGUGUACUGAGCCUGGCUUCAUGUGUCUCAUAUGGCCACUAGAAGCAGCUUUCCAGUCAGCUGUGUGUCUCCAGGUGCACAAAUUGGUUGCCAUGGG
This 4138-nucleotide long non-coding RNA is filed under the name Xyrichtys novacula (pearly razorfish). Lineage: Eukaryota; Metazoa; Chordata; Actinopteri; Labriformes; Labridae. The record is from RNAcentral.